This 91-nucleotide small RNA is filed under the name Salmonella enterica. RNAcentral describes it as "partial RtT sRNA". It matches the Rfam family "RtT RNA", at positions 1 to 87 of the family's 130-position model. Rfam says of the family: This family represents a bacterial cis-regulatory element known as RtT RNA. The exact function of RtT is unknown although it is thought that it may be involved in changing the cellular response in relation to amino acid starvation. RNAcentral also lists the same sequence under 1 other name. Lineage: Bacteria; Pseudomonadati; Pseudomonadota; Gammaproteobacteria; Enterobacterales; Enterobacteriaceae. The record is from RNAcentral.
UGUAUCGGAAGCCUGACGAGGAUGAGAACCUCCGGGGGCAAGAGGUUCGACUCGAGCGCAGCGAGAGAACGUUGCGUCAGCAACGGCCCGC